UCCCAGCCCUAAACGAUGCGGGCUAGGUGUCGGCCCGUCAUUGGGUCGGUGCCGCAGCUAACGCGUUAAGCCCGCCGCCUGGGGAGUACGGUCGCAAGGCUGAAACUCAAGGGAAUUGACGGGGGCCCGCACAAGCGGCGGAGCAUGUGGUUUAAUUCGAUGCUAAGCGAAGAACCUUACCCGGGCUUGACAUGCGGGUGGUACCGACCCGAAAGGGAAGGGACCCAGGGGCC
RNAcentral lists this ribosomal RNA (233 nucleotides) under uncultured bacterium. RNAcentral's name for it is "partial 16S ribosomal RNA". It matches the Rfam family "Bacterial small subunit ribosomal RNA", at positions 794 to 1028 of the family's 1533-position model. The record is from RNAcentral.